Molecule: ribosomal RNA, 301 nt
Filed under: uncultured bacterium
Lineage: Bacteria
Description: partial 16S ribosomal RNA
Rfam family: Bacterial small subunit ribosomal RNA
Source: RNAcentral
CAGUAGCCACGGUAACACAGAGGCCUCAAGCGUUGUUCGGAUUCAUUGGGCGUAAAGGGAGCGUAGGCGGUCGGGUAAGUCGGAUGUGAAAUCCUGGGGCUCAACCUCAGAACUGCAUUCGAUACUGCUUGGCUAGAGGACUGGAGAGGUGAGUGGAAUUCACGGUGUAGCAGUGAAAUGCGUAGAUAUCGUGAGGAAGACCAGCGGCGAAGGCGGCUCACUGGACAGUUACUGACGCUGAUGCUCGAAGGCCAGGGGAGCAAACGGGAUUAGAUACCCGCGUAGUCCCUGUCUCUUAUAC